This 553-nucleotide ribosomal RNA is filed under the name uncultured bacterium. RNAcentral describes it as "partial 16S ribosomal RNA". It matches the Rfam family "Bacterial small subunit ribosomal RNA", at positions 355 to 900 of the family's 1533-position model. The record is from RNAcentral.
UAGGGAAUCUUCCACAAUGGACGCAAGUCUGAUGGAGCAACGCGCGUGAGUGAAGAAGGUCUUCGGAUCGUAAAGCUCUGUUGUUGGUGAAGAAGGAUAGAGGCAGUAACUGGUCUUUAUUUGACGGUAAUCAACCAGAAAGUCACGGCUAACUACGUGCCAGCAGCCGCGGUAAUACGUAGGUGGCAAGCGUUGUCCGGAUUUAUUGGGCGUAAAGCGAGCGCAGGCGGAAUGAUAAGUCUGAUGUGAAAGCCCACGGCUCAACCGUGGAACUGCAUCGGAAACUGUCAUUCUUGAGUGCAGAAGAGGAGAGUGGAACUCCAUGUGUAGCGGUGGAAUGCGUAGAUAUAUGGAAGAACACCAGUGGCGAAGGCGGCUCUCUGGUCUGCAACUGACGCUGAGGCUCGAAAGCAUGGGUAGCGAACAGGAUUAGAUACCCUGGUAGUCCAUGCCGUAAACGAUGAGCGCUAGGUGUUGGGGACUUUCCGGUCCUCAGUGCCGCAGCAAACGCAUUAAGCGCUCCGCCUGGGGAGUACGACCGCAAGGUUGAAAC